AUGCCUUGAAAUUAAUUCAAUACUGUGGUUUCAUAAAGAUUAACAGUACAUGUCCUUUUUGUGCUAUGGCAAAAGAAGAUAGACUCUGGCUCUGAUUAAAACCAUAGAAAGAACACAUAUAUGUUUACAGACAUAAAACAAAACUGGGCAGAAUUUCCUAGUCUGAUGUCAUGGCUCAAUUCAUAGAACCAUGGAAUCAGAGAACGGUUUGUGUUGGAAAGGACCUGAAAGGCCAUUUAGUUCCAACCCCACUGCUGUGGGCAGGGACGCCUUCAACUAGAACAGGUUGUUCAGUGACCCAUCCAAACUGACCCUAAACACUUGCAAGGAUGGUACAUGCACAGCUUCUCUAGGCAACCUAGUCCAGUACUUCAGCAUUCUUAAAGUAAAAAUUUCUUCACUAUAUCUAAUGUAAGCCUAUUCUCUUUCAGUUUGAAGUCAUUUUCCUUUGUUCUGUCACUACAUGCCCUUGUCAAUACUCUCCAACUUUCUUUUGGGCUGUUUUCAGGUACUGGAAAGCUGCUCUAAGGUCUUCCCAGAGCCUUGUCUUUUCCAAGCUGAACUUCCUCAACUUUCUCAGUCUGUCUUCCUAGCUCUCUCUAGCUCUCUGGUCAUCUUCAUGGCUUUCCUCUGGACUCAUUCCAAGGUGGUGGCCAAUAUUGACUGAAACAAGGAGACUGAGAUUGAGAUUCCACCACCUAUGUUUAUGUGUCUGCAGUGCAGACAAUUGCAUGCAAGCUAAUUGUGUCUAAGCUCCUGCUGCAGUCCAAGAGCAACAGAGAGUUAACACAGUCAAUGAAACAAUGAGAACUAUUCAAAUACAGACAUCAAAGUUACGGUGAGAUAAGCAGUUCCCUAUUGUCCACAGCUGACAAGAUCUGCAUCUGUAACAAGCAGCUAGCCUGCUAAAACUUAUGUUGCAUGUACCUAAACUUGUGUGUCUGGAUAUAGAGCUGAAUACUGCUCUAGGAGCUCAUAGUAACCUGGGGGCAAAGAUUCUUCUAGUGGUGCCUGCUUCAGUCUAUUGUGCAUUUGUAGCCAUCUUAGCCCAUUGGCCAAAUAAUUCAUUGCUGAAGGAAGUAAAAUUCCAGAUUUUAGUAGCUUUUGAAAGGUUUACAUGUAAUGUUACUGUUGUAAUAUUAGAAAAGUAAAGCGAGGCUCUAAUAAGUCCAGAACUAAGGAUACCACAUUGUUUGAUAGCAGAAGUUCAUAGGUCUGUCAGGACUCAGGCCUUGGGUGAUUUCUUUUUCAGACAAUGGCUGGAUUUGGAUGCAGUAGACAAUCUUCAGAAGUCCAAGGAAAGAUAAAUACCGAAUAUACGUAUGUCCCUUUUCAUAUGUAGUGUUUCUUCCUUUCCUAGGGGACUAAGACAGCAGACACCUGCACUUUUCAGCCAUUUUCAACCCAGAUGCAGUCAAUACUGCAGCAUCAUCUGUUACCAAAGAUCAGCAUUUUGUUACAAAUAUUCUGCUCUUUCUUCAAAGAGAGGAAGUGUAAAUCUUACUUGUCAACCAAGUUGGUACAUAAUAUUUUUAUUAUCUAACAGCUUUCAGUACAAUACAGUUAAAAACAUGAAAGUGAAUACAACCAAGUCCCACUGAUAUAUUACUACUAAAGGGUGGAAUAGAAAAAGAAGAUGCCACAACUUACAUAAAAACUUCAAAUAUAUAUAAAAAUAUAAUAUUAUUCUAUUAUAUAUGUAUUACUCUUAUGGACACAAGAAAUAUUAAAAUGAAUUGAAACUAUUGAAUCGAAUCUCUUUACACAAGUCGAGGGGUUUUAAUCAUGCUAAUUUUAUAGCAAUAUAAGAUCUCAUUUUAAUUUUCAUUUUGUAGGAGUAUUCUAGAGAAAGGCCAAACAUGUCAAUUGGUAUGCAGGCAGCAGUAUUUUCAGCUCUGAAUAUUUUAUCUGGUUUCUUGGUCUUUAUAUUUCUUCAGAUACUGCUCAGCACGUAGAAUUAAUACUGAUCACUGUGCUACUUACUCUGUCAGAGUGUCUCUGAAGUUAAUCCAGAGUCAUGCAAAAAAUGCUUCACUAUGUUCUCACAGAGGUUUUAAAAGGUCAAAAUUCUCCAUUAAUUUUUAAGAAAUGUGGUCGUUCUAAUUUGUACCAAUAAAGGUCUUUUUAUUUCCA
Lonchura striata (white-rumped munia) is the source of this 2133-nucleotide non-coding RNA. The record is from RefSeq and is a predicted model, not a curated record. NCBI's taxonomy places the organism in Eukaryota, Metazoa, Chordata, Aves, Passeriformes, Estrildidae.